Molecule: ribosomal RNA, 284 nt
Filed under: uncultured Methanomicrobiales archaeon
Lineage: Archaea; Methanobacteriati; Methanobacteriota; Methanomicrobia; Methanomicrobiales
Description: partial 16S ribosomal RNA
Rfam family: Archaeal small subunit ribosomal RNA
Source: RNAcentral
AGUUGCCAGCUCCGGUCCUCCCGGGGAGUGGUGGGGGACGACUGUUGGGGCCGCCUCUGCUAAGAGGAGGAAGGAAGUGGGCAACGGUAGGUCAGCAUGCCCCGAAUUAUCUGGGCUACACGCGGGCUACAAUGGGUGGGACAAUGGGUAUCGACACCGAAAGGUGAAGGCAAUCUCCUAAACCCAUCCGUAGUUCGGAUUGUGGGCUGCAACUCGCCCACAUGAAGCUGGAAUCUGUAGUAAUCGUGUCUCAAAAUGGCACGGUGAAUAUGUCCCUGCUCCUU